This 366-nucleotide long non-coding RNA is filed under the name Bos taurus (domestic cattle). RNAcentral describes it as "long non-coding RNA NONBTAT018606". Lineage: Eukaryota; Metazoa; Chordata; Mammalia; Artiodactyla; Bovidae. The record is from RNAcentral.
CAUUUUAUAGCAAUUGCAUUACUUAUCCCUUUAGUAUUGUUUCUGUGAUUCUUUAAUGAUAUUCUCUUUGAAUAAGAAUAAAAUAAUAUUUCAAAAUCUAUCUAAUAUUAUCUUGAAUAUCAUUGCUUACAUGGUACAAAAUAUGAUACAAAUUUGAAAUGAGUACAAAUUACAGAAUAGAAAUAGGGAGAGAGUUAAAUAGCAGCAACUCUGAGAGAUAGUAGAUUAAGGCAUUCACAUGUCUUCCAAUGGUAGCAGACAAGAAAUAUAGGAUUCAGGACUUCUGAAUCAGGAGAUAAGAGUUUAAUAGGUCCACUUAACCCAAGAAGACUAUAAUAAAAACUUUAAUUUUAAACCAUGUCUUGU